RNAcentral lists this ribosomal RNA (600 nucleotides) under uncultured Alphaproteobacteria bacterium. RNAcentral describes it as "bacterial SSU rRNA". It matches the Rfam family "Bacterial small subunit ribosomal RNA", at positions 54 to 699 of the family's 1533-position model. The record is from RNAcentral. Lineage: Bacteria; Pseudomonadati; Pseudomonadota; Alphaproteobacteria.
CAUGCGAGUCGAACGAAGUAGCAGUACUUAGUGGCAGACGGGUGAGUAACAUGUGGGUAUCUGCCCUUUGGCCUGGAAUAACRCGAGGAAACUUGUGCUAAUACCAGAUAAGUCUUUACGGAGAAAGCUUUAUGCACCAUUGGAUGAGCCCGCACUUGAUUAGUUUGUUGGUGGGGUAAUGGCCUACCAAGACUUUGAUCAAUAGCUGAUUUGAGAGGAUGAUCAGCCACAUUGGGACUGAGACACGGCCCAAACUCCUACGGGAGGCAGCAGUGGGGAAUCUUGCACAAUGGAGGAAACUCUGAUGCAGCGAUGCCGCGUGAGUGAAGAAGGCCCUUGGGUUGUAAAGCUCUUUCGUCGGGGAAGAAAAUGACUGUACCCGAAUAAGAAGGUCCGGCUAACUUCGUGCCAGCAGCCGCGGUAAUACGAAGGGACCUAGCGUAGUUCGGAAUUACUGGGCUUAAAGAGUUCGUAGGUUGUUGAAAAAGUUGGUGGUGAAAUCCCAGAGCUUAAUUCUGGAACUGCCAUCAAAACUUUUCAGCUAGAGUAUGAUAGAGGAAAGCAGAAUUUCUAGUGUAGAGGUGAAAUUCGUAGAUAUUA